UAUGCCAAAUUGAGGGGGUAAAAUGAUCCUUUGCUCCAAUAAGUUUCAAAAAAUAGGAAAACAAAAAAUCAGAUCAUGUACCCAAAACCCCCUCCAUUUUCUGAAUUCGGGUUUAGCAUUUUAAUUUGUUGUUCAAAAGUUACUCUGAGUGUAAAUGCAACUUCUCAUCGCUUAACUCACCUUUUCAAAAUGGCCGAGUCAUCUUCCAUGUCGCCCAAGCCGGGCUCUAAAAUGCUCGGGUCCGAUCACAGCUCUACAGCUUCGCCUUUACCUUAUACUGAGGUAGUUGUAGUACGCCAUGGCGAAACUGAGUGGAACGCCGAUGGAAGACUUCAGGGACAUCUUGAUGUUUUGUUGAAUGAUACCGGCAGACAGCAAGCUGCUGCGGUGGCUAACCGACUUUCCAAGGAGCCUAAAAUUGCAGCUAUAUAUUCUUCUGACUUGAAGAGAGCUCUCACGACAGCGGAGAUUAUUGCUGCUAGCUGUGGAGGUCUUGAGGUUGUUGAAGAUGGAGAUCUCAGGGAAAGGCAUUUAGGACAGCUUCAAGGCCUUGUAUUACGUGAUACUGCCAAAGUUAAUCCUGAAGCUUACCAGGCCUUUUUAAGCCGUAGAACCAGUCAAGAUAUCCCAAGUCAAAGAUCCAAGUGCAAGAUGGAAGCAAACAACUCCUUAAGGCCACUCUUUAAUGGUAGUGAUUAUGCCUUUUGGAAGUUUAAGAUGGAGAAAUUUCUUGAUAGUGAAUCCAUCAAUUUAUGGCAUUGUAUAAGAAAAGGAUGGUCUUUCCCCACCAAAGCAGUUGAUGGAGUUCAAAUAGAGAAGUCUAGAGAUGACUGGAAUCGAAAUGAAGAAGCUCUUUAUUUGAAGAACAAUGAGUGCAUGAUAAUGCUUGCUACUUCACUGUCAAGAGAUGAAGGAGGCAAAAUAGCUCAUUGUACAAGUGCAAGAGAAAUGUGGACAACAUUGGAGAAUCACCAUGAAGGUACCUCGCAUGUCAAAGCUAUAAAGAAAGAACUCCUUAUUCGUGACUAUAACUUAUUCAAGCAUAAGAUUGGUGAAAAUGUUACGGAAAUGACCAACCGUCUACUACAAAUUGUUCGCACCUUGAGGAAAUACGAUAAAAUCUGCAGUAAGAAGGAUGUCAAUGACAAAAUCUUAUAUUCAUUGCCCAAUGGUUUUGAAGCCAGGGUGACGGCGAUUAUAGAAGCACAUGAUCUUAGCAAGCUCAACACCGAUGAGCUUAUCGGAAAACUCAUAGCUCAUGAAAUGACUUAUGGAAAGGAUGAGUUAAAGGAAAAGAAGAUGAAAUGUUUGGAAAUAUCCAAGUGCAAGAUGGAAGCAAACAACUCCUUAAUGCCACUCUUUAAUGGUAGUGAUUAUGCCUUUUGGAAGUUUAAGAUGGAGAAAUUUCUUGAUAGUGAAUCCAUCAAUUUAUGGCAUUGUAUAAGAAAAGGAUGGUCUUUCCCCACGAAAGAAGCUGAUGGAGUUCAAAUAGAGAAGUCUAGAGAUGACUGGAAUCUAAAUGAAGAAGCUCUUUAUUUGAAGAACAACGAGUGCAUGAUAAUGCUUGCUACUUCACUGUCAAGAGAUGAAGGAGGCAAAAUCGCUCAUUGUACAAGUGCAAGAGAAAUCUGGACGACAUUGGAGAAUCACCAUGAAGGUACCUCGCAUGUCAAAGCUAUAAAGAAAGAACUCCUUAUUCGUGAAUAUAACUUAUUCAAGCAUAAGAUUGGUGAAAAUGUUACAGAAAUGACCAACCGUCUGCUACAAAUUGUCCGCACCUUGAGGAAAUACGAUAAAAUCUGCAGUAAGACGGAUAUUAACUACAAAAUCUUAUAUUCAUUGCCCAAGAUUGGUUUUGAAGCCAGGGUGACGGCGAUUAUAGAAGCACAUGAUCUUAGCAAGCUCAACACCGAUGAGCUUAUCGGAAAACUCAUAGCUCAUGAAAUGACUUAUGGAAAGGAAUUGAUAAAGGAAAGUAAGAAAUGUUUGGCAUUGAAGGCUAGAGUGGAAAGCUUCUCAAGUGAGGAUGGGUCAAUAGAAAAUGAUUACAAUGAUGAUACUGAUAAGGCGAUUUGGCACUGUCUACAAAAGCAGAAUCAAAUAUUCCAAAGCAAUAAGGACAGGAGGAAUUGUACAAUCUUACAGAAGUGUUCCAAGAGGGAUGAGAAUAAGAUGAAGUGCUAUGAGUGUGGCAGGAAAGGGCACAUGAGGUCAGAAUGCCCCAAGCUUGAGGAAAGCCCCUCAAGGUGGCACAAGAAGGACAAAGGAGUAGAAGCAAAGCGGAAAGGAUAUACAGCUACAUGGAGUGAUUAUUAUUGUGAUGAAGAGGACGUUGAUAACAAAAAUGACCAACCUAAUUAUUGCCUUAGAGCAACCAUCGACUAAGGAGACACUUAUGGGAAGUGCUACUUAAGGAAGACUUCAAGACUAACCCACAUGGAACCUUUUGGGGUGGUGGAGAAAGUCUGGAUCAGCUGUAUCUACGUAGUACGUCUUCUUUGCAAAGAAUUGCUAGGAAGCAUAGAGGAGAGAGAGUUGUGG
RNA transcript from Mercurialis annua (annual mercury), 2541 nucleotides. It is a transcript of the gene named phosphoglycerate mutase-like protein 4, with no coding region annotated. The transcript is spliced from 9 exons. The record is from RefSeq and is a predicted model, not a curated record. NCBI's taxonomy places the organism in Eukaryota, Viridiplantae, Streptophyta, Magnoliopsida, Malpighiales, Euphorbiaceae.